Molecule: long non-coding RNA, 574 nt
Filed under: Nicotiana tabacum (common tobacco)
Lineage: Eukaryota; Viridiplantae; Streptophyta; Magnoliopsida; Solanales; Solanaceae
Description: long non-coding RNA (NTAB_LNC018347)
Source: RNAcentral
CAGGCGUCCACCUGGAGAAUGAGGAUGAGAAAAAGAAGAAGUCAGGCGUCCACCUGGAGAAUGAGGAUGAGAAAAAGAAGAAGUCAGGCGUCCACCUGGAGAAUAAGGAUGAGAAUUAAAAGAAGUCAGGCGUCCACCUGGAGAAUGAGGAUAAGAAUUGAAGAAGUCAGGCGUCCACCUGGAGAAUGAGGAUGAGAAUUAAAAGAAGUCAGGCGUCCACCUGGAGGAUGAGGAUGAAGAAUUAAAGAAAUCAGGCGUCCGCUUGGAGAAUGAGGAUGAAGAAUUAAAGAAAUCAGGCGUCCACCUGGAGAAUGAGGAUGAGAAUUAAAGAAAUCAGGCGUCCACCUGGAGAAUGAGGAUGAGAAAAAGAAGAAGUCAGGCGUCCACCUGGAGAAUGAGGAUGAGAAAAGAAGAAGUCAGGCGUCCACCUGGAGAAUGAGGAUGAGAAAAGAAGAAGUCAGGCGUCCACCUGGAGAAUGAGGAUGAAAGAAUUAAAGAAGUCAGGCGUCCACCUGGAGAAUGAGGAUGAGAAUUAAAGAAGUCAGGCAUCCACCUGGAGAAUGAGGAUGAGAAA